GCUGCAAAGCAGAAUCACUUCAGCAGCACAUAUAUAAAAUUGGAAUGAUAUAGGGUAGAUUAGCAUGGCCUCUGUGCAAGGAUGACACACACAUUCAUGAGAUGUUCCAUAUGAUG
This 116-nucleotide small nuclear RNA is filed under the name Salvator merianae (Argentine black and white tegu). The record is from RNAcentral. Lineage: Eukaryota; Metazoa; Chordata; Lepidosauria; Squamata; Teiidae.